AUACGGAGGGUGCAAGCGUUACUCGGAAUCACUGGGCGUAAAGCGCGCGCAGGCGGCUUGAUAAGUUGGAUGUGAAAGCCUACGGCUCAACCGUAGAACUGCAUCCAAAACUGUCAAGCUAGAGUCUGGGAGGGGAAGAUGGAAUUAGUUGUGUAGGGGUAAAGUCCGUAGAGAUAACUAGGAAUACCAAAAGCGAAGGCGAUCUUCUGGAGCAGUACUGACGCUGAGGCGCGAAAGCGUGGGGAGCAAACAGGAUUAGAAACCCUUGUAGUCC
This 274-nucleotide ribosomal RNA is filed under the name uncultured bacterium. RNAcentral's name for it is "partial 16S ribosomal RNA". It matches the Rfam family "Bacterial small subunit ribosomal RNA", at positions 523 to 796 of the family's 1533-position model. The record is from RNAcentral.